RNAcentral lists this transfer RNA (69 nucleotides) under Marmota marmota marmota (Alpine marmot). It matches the Rfam family "tRNA". Rfam says of the family: Transfer RNA (tRNA) molecules are approximately 80 nucleotides in length. The record is from Rfam by way of RNAcentral. Lineage: Eukaryota; Metazoa; Chordata; Mammalia; Rodentia; Sciuridae. RNAcentral also lists the same sequence under 1 other name.
GGAGCUAUAGCUCAGUGGCAGAGCACUUGCAUAGCAUGUAUGAGGCACUGGGUUGGAUCCUUAGCACCA